CACACAGAAGGUUGUAUCGCCUACAACCUAUCUAUUGGUGGAAUUACUCUGGAUCGGAAGCUUUGUACUGAAUGGAGGACUGUGCCUUGUGGGUACUCUGCUCAUAAAGGACCAAGACACAGGCAACAGAAGAUGGUCAUUAAAGAGUGGAUAUGAUCCCUGAAAAACUGGAAGAGGUCUCACAUCAGGAUCAGCACCCUCAUUAGGACAGUGAUUGAUGGAAGAAGAAAUUAUGCUUCUUUUCCCACAUCUUCUGCUGACACAAGAAGGAAAUCAUACUGAGACCAGGCCAGAGAAGCCAGGAAACCAUGCUGAUCUAUCUAAAAAAUCAGGAGGUAGUUGACUCAAACUGACUGUUACAUUCGAGUUUGUUUUCCUGUUGUGGCCCUGAACUUUGUAAAGUGGUGCAACUCUUGAUUCACAGGUGUGCACAUAUAAAAUUUGAACCAGAUUGGUCCUCAGGGUUUCUGAACAAGAAUGGUAUGGAUGACCAGUGGGUGUUCAUAGCAGAAGUAGAUAGAAAUAUUUUCAUCAACUACUUUUCAUGUGCUUUCAGUUCAUCCUCACUCCUAACUAAAUGCCAAAAUGCUGCCUGUAAAAUAACGAGUGUACGUGAAAGUUCAAGACUUCAAACAGACUAAGGAAAAAAUCUUCUACUGUUGGCUGCUGGAAAUUUUUUCAGAGAGACUAAACUGUUAAUUGCUUGUUAAGUUUGUCCUGUCUUCAUUUGCACUCAUGCAUUAAAAUGAGAGAGGAAGCCAUCAGAAUAUGAUGUUCCCAAUCUGAUUCCAGAUGACUUAAUGGAUACACUGAAAACCAGUGAGAGGGGGCUCUGAGAGUAGGAGACAAUAAAUACUAUUUGUUCAUUAAAUAGCCUGGGAUCUCAUGUUGUAGCCCAUUACCUGCUGACGACUUCUAUCAGGCUCUGAGAUGGGAAGUGAUGAUGCUGUAUGCCUGUUUCCACAUUGAAUUGAGAAUCCUACCCUUACUCCUGCUUCAAACGAUGAGGGAAGCACACUGCCUGUAUACUGCUCACCCCUAUAAUCUUUUCUGAGGUGGAUCUGGAAGGUUGCAUGUAGCAUGAGUCUGCUGGGAACAACAGCAUGCAGAACACUUCAUCCCAGCUGUGCUGGUUAGAGGAGAAGAGUGGUGAAAGAUGAAAAGAAUGAGAAAAUGCUUGUGGUUUUGUUUUGUUUUGUUUUAUAAAUGUUUGUUUUUAAUUACCAGCCUACAGGAAAAACUUUAUGCAAAAUAUUUUUUUUCCUUGUUUUCUUAAACUCCCUGGUGACAUCCAUUGAUGUGGUGGGCUAAUUGCUGCAGUGUACUAAUGUAGGAUACAAGUCCACAGAAUCCAAGGUAGGUAGCAUUUUAAUAUUUCAAACACAGUCAGCUUGUCAGAGCUGUUUUCCAUCUUUUCACACCAAUACAACAGGGUAUUUUUUAUGUGACUACUGGAACUACUGGUCUCCCUACAGACUAUCUUGUAUACAGUAAUUCAGCACUGUUUUCAAAACCCAGACUGUGGAUGCAAAUGAUUGGGAUGCAUAAAUCUUCAGCGGUGAGGGAAGAAAGCAAAGCUGGUGUGCAAUAGAAGGAUGAACCACUGGUCUCCAGAUAUCUUAAUGUCUUCUCCCGCUUGCUCUUUUAAGUGACUGAUCCACUUUCACAAUCUUUUUGAGGUAUGUCUUCUCCACAGUUCUUUGUAGUUUUCUGCUAAAAGAAAAAAAAGAAAAAGGAUUCUUGGCAGGAAUCUUUUAUGAUUAAAGUGUUAAGGCACAUCGUUUGAAAUCAAGGGGGAAUCACUUUUGAUUUCCUAGUCUUUAGAGGCGUGAAAUAUGUGUUCCUAGCUCUGGGAUAGGGAUAACCAUAGCUGUGUUGAUAUGUGUUAUAUUUCUUUACUCCAAAGACUGAAGAAAAGAAGCUUCACUCCCUUUGAAGUUUAUCCUUCUGAGCUUAGUGCUGAUACAAGCAACUCAAGUGUCAGCUUCCCCCUUUGGAGAUGUCUCAUUUCUGCCUUAAAGUUUCUUUCAUUUUUUUUUCCCUUCGAAGUUGAUGAAAUUAAGAGAACACAGAGCAAGCAUGAAGUCAAUAUCAGGAAGGUUGUAUCAUCCUGAUAAUAGCCCAAGUGGAGAGGUAACAUCAGCAGCAACAGAUUUCAUCCACUUCUGAUAGAAAACACAUUCUUCCCCCAGCCUCUUCAUGGAGUGCUGCAGCAUGAAAUGGAAGGGCACUCACACAUCACUUGCAACCAAGGCACUAUUUCAGAUGCUCACGUGAAUGGAUCGCUCCCUUAAGACACUCCCUCUAUCUUCACUUAUGCUGUCAUCUUCUGCAAGUGCCUCCUUCACCAUGACUGCUGAGAAUGGAGACAUAUAACUUAGGCACUGCCGUGAGGUACAUAAAGUCAGAUUUUCCAGACACCCUACAGAGCCCCAUUAAAACCUUUCGCAAACUUCACCAUUCCACUACCUCCUUUGAGAUACACAUUUCCGAAGCUGUUAUAUAUUUGAUAUUUUCCAAAUACAUUUUAAGUGUUCAUAAUCAGCAGUUCAUUUUACAGCACCAUUCUAACUUCUUGAUUGUUCAAACUUUCUUUUCUUUAUUUAGUACACUGUAGAGAGACUUAUAAAAAAGUGAGCCUCUCCCAGUCAUUUUGAGUCAUAGUUAGUUUCAACCAUUUCUCAUUUUUAAUUGCCCUGUUAUCUCUCUCUAGUUCCAUUCCCAUUCCAAUAUAUUAGGAAGAAAAAAAAUCCAACCUUCUGUUUUCUUCUAGCCCCCUUGGCUAACAGUAACUCAUUCUGGGGUUUUAAUUGUGAUUUUAAUUAAGGCUGCCUCAACCCGAUUGGCUCAGAGCCUUUCAUCACGCAUAGCAGUUUUUAGUAUGCAGUGCAGUGCAAGCCAGUCAGCAGGGACAGCCUGUGCAUAGAGGCUGUAGGGACAGAGUGGAGCAUAUAACACGUUUUGCUUUACAAACCUGGGUAAGGAAUAAGGAGAUGAGAGGUAAUUUCUUAGCUGUCUCGCUCACAUAUGAGUUCAUUUUGUCGCCACAAUGCUGUGUCAGUUCUCUGUCCUAUCAGCUAGUUUUGUGAGGUAACAAUACUCAGCCUCCAUACACCUCAGUCUAAUCACCACUCUGUUAACAAUCUUUGCAGCGUUUCCUCAUGUAGGCACUAAACAGCACUCCCCUGCUCCAGCACCAGCAGUUUUUGUGUUUGCAGAGUUCCCGAAUGGCUUCCUUCCUUCUUGUGGAUGCCACAAACCCAAUAUCAGUUGCCUGCCCUGAGCUAACCUCCUCCCCCCCUUUCCUCUACACCUGUUGAACAUCUUCCAGGUGGCCCAGGACAAAGGUAUGUGCUCUCACCUAGGAGCAGAGAAAACCUGAGUUUGGCAGUUGUACUGUCUUAAGCAGAGCAGUCAUGUAUCAUUAAUGCUUAGCCUUUAAAAUCUAAAGGACACUUAUUACAGAUGUUUUUCAUGAUUUGCUAUUACUUCACUGUAUAUGACUCAUCUUACUGACCCUGUGCUAACAUCAAGUCCAGAUUUGUGUUAAUAGGAGUUAUGUUUAAAGGGUUGUGAGUGGGUGCUCCUGACACUGCAGUUGCUAAAAAUAGCAUUAAUUCAUUUCCAAGAGCACAGAGAUUUUAGCGUUGAUAACAUAGCCAAGAUCUAUGAUUUCGUCAUCUUCGCUGGCAAACAGUUUCACUUCCUACCUUAAACCUUGUCGGGAUGUUUAUAUAGUGUAUGCGGUGAUGUACAGAGUGGAGCUUUUACUGCAUUUAUAUAUUCCAAAAACAUUCUGAGAAAAAAAAAGAAGAAGAAAAAUAAAACAGUGACAGUGUUCAAAUAUAUACAAAUAGUUGUCAUUCCUCCAACUGUUCUGAGAGUUACUGGUGUUUAUAAAAUGCUCUGAGUUUCUCUGAUGUAUUGUGAGCUGUAAGAACAGUCACUGUGUCUAAUCACAAAUAAAUCCCAUGUCUCAUAAUUAUUUUGGCUCCAGAUUCUACAGAUUUCAUAAUGCAUUAGGAAAACAUAACCAGCUAUGUGAUUGCAUGGUAAUUAGUUUAGGAAAAGCAACAUGGACUUUGUGUAAAACAAGCUAACGUUCUUCAUUUAUUUCAGCUUCUUCAGGAAAAUCAGUUCGGGAAGAAAUUCACUCUUGACAGAUCUUUGAAGCCUGGAGUUCUUGAUAAAAGAAAAUGUGCUGUUUCCUUCAGCCACACUGUCUGGAAGCCAAAGAGGGCAAGGCAGGCCAGGCCACCUGAGCCGCUCACCCUGGAGAUGAAGGCUCUGCUUACAAGACCAGUUAAUGAAUAGAACUCAAGUCCAUUGUGUAUGUCUUAAUUAGAUUCGGAAUAUCUGAAUUUACCAUUGUCAGCAUGAGACAGCACUAAACAGCAGCUAGUGGCUCCAGCCAUUGAGGAUUAGAAGUGGAGGAUGCUGGCAAGUCCUUCAUGAGACUGCAAAAACUGCUAUGAACUGGUUGGAACACCUCUCCUAUGAAGAAAAACUGAGAAAGCUGAGACUGUUCAGCCUGGAGAAGGCUCAAGGGGAUCGCAUCAGUGUGCACAACUGCUUGAAGGGAGGAUGCAAAGAAGACAGAGCCAGGCUCUUUCCAGUGCUUCCCAGUGGCAGGACAAGAGGCAAUGGGCACAAACUGAAACACAAGGGGUUUCCUCUAAACAUCAGGAAGCACUUCUGUACUGUGCAGGUAAUGGAGCACUGGCACAGAUUGCCCAGAGAGGCUGUGGAGGCUCCUCCUUGGAGAUCUUCAAAAGCUGCCUGGAUGUGGGCCGGGACAAUCUGCUUGAGCAGGGAUUGGGCCAAAUGGACCCAGAGGUUCCCUUCAGCCUCAACCCUUCUGUGAUCUUGUGUUUACUUUCAUUAUUACUAGCUGACAAGUAGUGCUUCUAAAUGCCUUAAAAAGUUGAGGAAAUUUCACAAGAUUUUAUUUAUUUGUUUGUUUGUUUGUUUCUUUUGCUGUCUUUGCAUGGCAAAGACUUUCCUUUACUGGUAUUCUGACAAGAGAAAGUUCAGGCUCAAGCUGCUGGAUGUAUGUUUAUAUUGUCUUCUCAAUUUGUUUCCUGUGUGUAACUGUAGUGAGAGUUUUUUGAGGAUAGAGGGGUCUGAUCAUCACUUACUUUAAAUUGUAUAGUGCCAUUACUGCCCUAUAUCUGCUCCCUAGAGUCUUAGUACUAAACUGAAAUGUACUUAUUUGCAGCCAUGCUAGAUUCCAUUGUCAUAUCUUAAUGUAGGAUAAUACUGUAAUUCAUUAAUAUUAUGUUCUUUAAUGAGGCCUGUGACUCUGUGUUUUUAUAUAGGAAUUUGCACUUGUGAUUUUCUUUGCUAAUUUAAGUACAUUGUCCACCAUCAACUUAAAAUCUAGUAUCAAUUUAAAAUUAGGAAAUGAUGAGUCCUGUGAGAAACAUCCCUUGCUUGUUAUUCUCUCAGGAUUACAGUGUGUGAGAAGUGUUCCAUGCUGCUUUUUAAUUCCUGUUUGUUAUUGAUUGUUUUUAGUUUGCAGUUUUACUUUUUGGUUCUCUGAAAAGUUCAAAGCUCGUAACUGGUAACAAAUGGGGCAAAACUAUUUAAACUUUCAUGUCAGAAAUUACACAAAAAGCCAAACGCAAGUGCUCUUAAAGUUUUGUUUACUUCUCAUGCCCCAUAUUAAUUGCACAGAUUCUCCUAUUGCCUCAUGAAGAACCGGAUCCUGGUUACAGCUGGGCAUUCAUUAGCAAGCAGAUCACACACACAGCUGUACAAUAUAUACAGACCUGAACUACAGUCUCCUCAACUGGUGAACACCCACCUCUGCCACUGAGCUCUGUGGAAAAUGAAAUCUAAAUUCAAGAUCAUAGAGGAACUUGAAGAAGGCAGAGACCAGUCAGGAAAGAUAAAAGCAACUGGAUUAUCGUAUUGGCAUUUUUUGGAACAUUGAUUUUGGCUGGUUAAUUUUCAGAUAAUUAAAGAUGUAGUCAGGUCUAGGGAUUUUAACAAGGCCAAGAAUUGGCCAAUGUUAGUGCCUUUCUCACAGCAUGAGUCCUUGGGCAUACCUCCUGUUGAUACAAACAAGCAAUUGAUCCUGAGCAACCAGAAACACUUAACAACUGAUAACAGUUGCUUAUCUGGUACUAUCAUCUGAGUUUCUCAGUUUCCAUUGCAAGCAAAUUUGGAGCUUUGUGGUACUGAUAGCAUUGUAGAACCGUUCUACAGCACGCCAUCCUUGCAGUAGAUUUGUUGAAAACCAUCUACCAGCUGAUAGGAAUCAACUGUUUGUUUUGAGAUUGUUUCAGGGAAGAAGUUUUUAUUAGCAAAACUGACUACAGCCAACCUCAUUUUCUCUCUCUGGCAGCUUGUUCCUAGCCACAACUUAGAGCUUGUCUUGGAAAUAUUAAUGCAGUUGAAUUUUGCAGUCGUGGCUGCAUAGUGAAACCAAGGAAAGAUCUCACUUCUGGUGCAGUCUUGUCAAUAUCUAAUAGCUACAAUGAUCGUUUAUCAAUAAAAAGGAAAGUUUGAAAGAUGUGUGAUGUUAGAAGGUUAAUGAUGUGAGACUCAAGGAUGCAGACUGUAAUCUCGUUAGUAUGCUAUUAUGGCAAUACACAUUCAUAAUUCAGAGGUUUGAUAUACUUGGUGUUGAUUAAAAGAAUUAAUCCAGCCAGCUCACUGAGGGCAAUGUGCUAGCUGGCAGGCACUGGUAAACAACAAGGCAGAGCAGUGUAAUCACCUGUAAGGAUAAAUACAGGUGACACAUUCACAAUAGUAGAAAGUAGAUCCCAGGCAGGCAGCAAACACUGCCAUUGCCUAUUUCUGGCCUGCUUGGACAAGCUGUGGGGAGGAGGAUCCACACUAGCAUUUGGAAGGGCAAAGAAAUCAAAGGACCAGGGACUCCCCAGUGAAGGAAGAGACAUUUCAACAGCAAAAGAAAAGAAAGGUUUGACAAGCAUGGAAAGUAUUGGUGAGAGAACCUUUAAUAGGAGGAGGGAAGGAAGAGUCAAAAUAAGCUGAAAGCUACAGCGUUAAAAUAAAGCAAGGGAAACCCAAACCAGAAAGAUGUGACACUGGGAGAAAGGUCUUUUCAUAGACCAGGGUAUAGAGAUGCUUAAUAUCAGUGAAGCCAAACAUUUAGUAUGUAUCAUCACGCGCAACACUUAUGAAAAAAAAAAAAACUUAAUUAACUUUCCUGUGUUCCAUUCUGGUUCUCUGUUUCUCCUUGUAAUCAAACACGGAUUAACUAAUGAAGAAUAUAUAGCCUGCAAGAUAUUUCUUCUGCAAACAAUACAUUCCAUUUUGAUUCAUUAAUGGGUUUUGGAUGUACUGAAGUUUAUCGGCAGAUUUACUUUUGUUCCCCAACACUGGCUUGCACUGUUGCAGGUAAAUUAUAUUCUAACAACAGACUUUUUUCAAAAAGAAAACUUUCGAGUGGUGUGGCAGCUGUACAAAAGCGCUUGUAUUUUAUUGUCAAACUAGACAUGGUAAGAAUGUAACAGCAGUGAAAUAGAGGAUGUUAGCA
This 7507-nucleotide long non-coding RNA is filed under the name Gallus gallus (chicken). Its description in RNAcentral is "lncRNA (ENSGALG00010010827.1)". The record is from RNAcentral. Lineage: Eukaryota; Metazoa; Chordata; Aves; Galliformes; Phasianidae.